GGUGUCGUAGUCUAAUGGUUAUGAUAACUCGUUGUGGUAAAAACAACUCCGAGUUGGUCCCAGUUCGAUUCCGGGCGAUGCCA
Non-coding RNA from Arthroderma sp. PD_2, 83 nucleotides. The record is from the annotation of a GenBank genome assembly. Lineage: Eukaryota; Fungi; Ascomycota; Eurotiomycetes; Onygenales; Arthrodermataceae.